AUGUACUAUGAUAAUCCUGAGAAAACCCCAUUCAAUUAUGUUAUGGGAGACACGUUUGAUCAACGUGAAUACUUUAGGGUUUAUCGCUUGACUCAAAAAGGGAAACUAUUAUGGGAUCAAAUUUAUAUGUUGAAGUGGUAUGCUAGGCAAGUAUGCUUGAGAUAUGAUUAUACUUGUUGCUCUAGGAUGAAGGCUCCACACCUUCCCUUUUCAUGCAAAUUAAAUGAUAAUGAAACUUUGGCUUCUUAUGCUAGAGGUAUAUAUGACUAUUAUGAUGUGGAACAAAUAGAAGAAUUUGUUGCUUUUAUGGGUGCUUAUGAAAUUGAAUCUAUGUUCAAAGAAUAUGAAAAUCUUUAUGAUGCUGUCUACAGACCUGAAAAUUUAGCUAUCCUUAAAUAUUGUUAUGAGAAUUAUGAAUACAAUUCCGAUAUUGAUGCGUUUAUUGAGAAAGUCUCCGCUGUCCCAGAAGAGACUAAUAUUUUGCAGGAAUCUAUGGAAGAAGAAAUUGAUGAAACUGUGAGCUCAUUGGAUGAAAAAGAUGAGGAGGAGAGCGAAGAACAAAAGGAGGAAGAGCGGAUUGAUCACCCGUGCCCACCUUCUAAUGAGAGUAACUCUUCAACUCAUACAUUGUUUAAUUUCCCUUCGUGCUUACUGAAGGAUGAAUGCUAUGAUCCCGUUGAUUCUUUUGAAAUAUCCCUUUUGAUGAUGCUUGCUAUGCUUGUGGCCAAGAUGCCAAUAUGA
This 741-nucleotide ribosomal RNA is filed under the name Triticum aestivum (bread wheat). RNAcentral describes it as "partial small subunit ribosomal RNA". The record is from RNAcentral. Lineage: Eukaryota; Viridiplantae; Streptophyta; Magnoliopsida; Poales; Poaceae.